UGGUCGCAGGUUCGAAUCCUGCACGACCCACCAAUUUCAGCAUUUAACUCAGAUGCUGAACGUGAAGGAUAACGUUGUGUCAGCAACGGCCCGAAGGGCAAGGCAAAGCCGAGUCAUCCUGCACGACCUACCA
This 133-nucleotide small RNA is filed under the name Klebsiella pneumoniae. Its description in RNAcentral is "partial RtT sRNA". It matches the Rfam family "RtT RNA", at positions 33 to 130 of the family's 130-position model. Rfam says of the family: This family represents a bacterial cis-regulatory element known as RtT RNA. The exact function of RtT is unknown although it is thought that it may be involved in changing the cellular response in relation to amino acid starvation. The record is from RNAcentral. Lineage: Bacteria; Pseudomonadati; Pseudomonadota; Gammaproteobacteria; Enterobacterales; Enterobacteriaceae.